Non-coding RNA from Trichonephila inaurata madagascariensis, 72 nucleotides. Lineage: Eukaryota; Metazoa; Arthropoda; Arachnida; Araneae; Nephilidae. The record is from the annotation of a GenBank genome assembly.
GGCCCCAUCAUAGCUCAGGCGGCAGAGCACGGGUCUUGUAAACCAGGGGUGAGUUCGAUCCUCACGGGGCUU